GCUAAACGCGAAGAACCUUACCAAGGCUUGACAUAUACCUGAAAAGGCUGGAAACAGUCUCCCCGCAAGGCAGGUAUACAGGUGGUGCAUGGUUGUCGUCAGCUCGUGUCGUGAGAUGUUGGGUUAAGUCCCGCAACGAGCGCAACCCUCGUUCUAUGUUGCCAGCACGUAAUGGUGGGAACUCAUAGGAGACUGCCGGGGUCAACUCGGAGGAAGGUGGGGAUGACGUCAAAUCAUCAUGCCCCUUAUGUCUUGGGCUUCACGCAUGCUACAAUGGCCGGUACAAAGGGCUGCAAUACCGCAAGGUGGAGCGAAUCCCAAAAAGCCGGUCUCAGUUCGGAUUGAGGUCUGCAACUCGACCUCAUGAAGUCGGAGUCGCUAGUAAUCGCAGAUCAGCAUGCUGCGGUGAAUACGUUCCC
Molecule: ribosomal RNA, 419 nt
Filed under: uncultured bacterium
Lineage: Bacteria
Description: bacterial SSU rRNA
Rfam family: Bacterial small subunit ribosomal RNA
Source: RNAcentral